RNAcentral lists this ribosomal RNA (431 nucleotides) under uncultured bacterium. Its description in RNAcentral is "bacterial SSU rRNA". It matches the Rfam family "Bacterial small subunit ribosomal RNA", at positions 80 to 507 of the family's 1533-position model. The record is from RNAcentral.
CAAUCUGACAGUAGAGUGGCGCAAGGGUGCGUAACGCGUAAGUAACUUUCGACCCCAAGGUAAGGAAUAACGUCGAGAAAUCGGCGCUAAUACCUCAUAAUGCAGCGGAUCCGCAUGGAUAUGUUGUUAAAGGUUUACCGCCUUGGGAUAGGCUUGCGUCUGAUUAGCUAGUUGGUGUGGUAACGGCACACCAAGGCUACGAUCAGUAACUGGUCUGAGAGGAUGAUCAGUCACACUGGAACUGAGACACGGUCCAGACUCCUACGGGAGGCAGCAGUGAGGAAUAUUGGGCAAUGCUCGAAAGAGUGACCCAGCAACGCCGCGUGGAGGAUGAAGGUAUUCUAUAUCGUAAACUCCUGUGAGAGCAGACGAAAGACAGAUUACUAAUCUGGAUGACUGUAUGCUCAGAGGAAGCCCCGGCUAACUACGUG